Long non-coding RNA from Perognathus longimembris pacificus (Pacific pocket mouse), 200 nucleotides. RefSeq lists it as uncharacterized. The transcript is spliced from 3 exons. The record is from RefSeq and is a predicted model, not a curated record. NCBI's taxonomy places the organism in Eukaryota, Metazoa, Chordata, Mammalia, Rodentia, Heteromyidae.
AGCCUCCUGAGUAGCUAGGAUGACACGCGUGAGCCAGCGGUACCUGGCUAAGAUCACCUUUUGAAUGUGGUUCCAUUAAAAAAAAAGAUCUGAAUUCCAUUCACUAAGAUUUAGGCAGCUGAACAGCUGUGGAGAGUUUCAGGAGUUCCAGACUACUGAAUGUAGGACAGACAAGCCAUGUGGUCAGCUGACUCACUUUC